CGGCAACAGCUCAAAUUUGAAAUCUGGCUCUCGGGCCCGAGUUGUAAUUUGUAGAGGAUACUUUUGAUGCGGUGCCUUCCGAGUUCCUUGGAACAGGACGUCAUAGAGGGUGAGAAUCCCGUAUGUGACUGGCCGCCUUCGCCUAUGUGAAGCUCUUUCGAC
Molecule: ribosomal RNA, 162 nt
Filed under: Helotiales sp.
Lineage: Eukaryota; Fungi; Ascomycota; Leotiomycetes; Helotiales
Description: partial large subunit ribosomal RNA
Rfam family: Eukaryotic large subunit ribosomal RNA
Source: RNAcentral